GACAGAUGAACCUAUAUCAGAUUAGCUAGUUGGUGGGGUAAAGGCCUACCAAGGCGACGAUCUGUAGCUGGUUUGAGAGAAUGAUCAGCCACACUGGGACUGAGACACGGCCCAGACUCCUACGGGAGGCAGCAGUGGGGAAUAUUGGACAAUGGGGGCAACCCUGAUCCAGCAAUGCCGCGUGUGUGAAGAAGGCCUUCGGGUUGUAAAGCACUUUAAGUUGGGAGGAAAAGCUGGGAGUUAAUAGCUCCUAGUAUUGACGUUACCAACAGAAUA
Molecule: ribosomal RNA, 276 nt
Filed under: uncultured Methylophaga sp.
Lineage: Bacteria; Pseudomonadati; Pseudomonadota; Gammaproteobacteria; Thiotrichales; Piscirickettsiaceae
Description: partial 16S ribosomal RNA
Rfam family: Bacterial small subunit ribosomal RNA
Source: RNAcentral